CCCGCGCCGCCCCCCCGCGCCGCCGCGCGCGCGCAGGCCGUUGGGCGCGCUCAGACGCGCGGAGGCUGCCAGGCCGCGGGGCAGCGCCAAAGUAUGCCGUGGGGCAACGCCAAAGUAUGCAAAGGAAAAAUGCUAUUAGCUCAUCAGCGCUGGAGAGGCUGGAAACGGGGCGGUGGGGAGGGGGGCGUUCGCAAGGAAGGAAACAUGUUUCUGGAAAAAUGUGCUGGCCUGCACAUCUCACAGCCUGGAGCGCCUGCCGGGGACCUUCGUUUAGCGUCGAGUAACAGUCAGUCUCCCUUAAUGACCUUUUAAUUAGGAGAAAACCUUCAUCAAAUAAACUCUUGACUAUUGACUUUUGGUUUUCUGUGUAUGAGUCACACGAGAAAUACACUACCAGCGCUCCUCUCAGAGUAGGUUUUCAUUGAAAAAUGAAAUUUCGCAUGGGAGAGACUUAGCCCUCACUAGAACAAAUAAACUUGGCUGGGAGAGCGUCUCCCCAAAACUAUGCUUGGAGCAGAGUGGCAGGUUGUGAUCUGAAAUGUGGCUCUCUUCCUUCCUGCUAUUACAAGAGUUCAUAAAUGCUCUGUUUUGAUAAGUCUGAUCACCCAGCGAGGCAAACAAAUUAAGAUCCAUGGAUUUCAGCCAGAAAUCCUUAUGGGUGUAUUUUUCCAAGGGCUGUUUGCUUAUGAAUCCUUGCAAAGGAAUGGAGGAGAAUACAAAAGUACUGCUUCACCACAAGUUUGACGACAGCGAGGAUUUUUCAUAUGCAACCCUGUGAAACCUUACCGUUGUAGGCUGGAAAUUUUUAUCCUACUCAGUGUGUUCAAAGCACCUUCCUGAUGCAGCCAGGUUUCAGAGGUCAGGUUAACAGUCCAAGUGAUACUGGCUCUGCAGAUAUCUGCCCUUGCAGUCUAGUGAUCUUGAUAUAGUUCUCUUGAAAAAAAGUUAUUGCAGUUUAGUUAUGUAUUACUCGAAAUGGAAUACACUUAGUAAUCAAAAUCCUGCAAAACGCAGUCCUGCAGCAAAGGAUUGUGAUGCUGAUUUAAACUGCUAUCUGAUUAGCAGUAGUAGUAGUACUUCAUUUUAAAGUCGCUCUUUGUAGCCUCUGAAAUCGGUGGUCCUGUCUUGGGUCUUAAAGUUACCACGUGGACAAGUGGGUUAGAAGCUAAGACUGGGGGCUGGGGUAGGCUGCUCCCAGAGCCACACUCUGCUUACUCUGCUGUGCAUCUCAGGAGAGCUGUACUGCAGACAAGUGUGCAGCCUAGUGGACUUACUUAAGCACUGUUCACAUCCUUGCAGUCAUCCAGAUGAUCUAACGGUUAACAUCGCUGGGAAAUCAAUGGUUUCCCUAAACAUUCCCGAGCUGGAGAACACUCUGAGAAGCAUGGGAAGGUAUGCACCCAAGAAAGUGUAGUCUUCUUACUUGGAAUACUCCAGCUGGCUGAUAUGCACGUCCGUUAUCACUGCUAGCGAGCACUGGGCUGGCAGGGAGCAUCUGCUGGACUGGGCCCCCAAAGGGAACAAGUUUUGCCUGGAACAAUCAGUGACUAAGACUGAGGAAAAUGGAAAGCUUGAAAAUAAGGAAAAUACAACACUGAAGAAACAAGUCAACAGAAUCAAGCAGAUACUAAUUGAAGACUGGUCUUUAGGAGUAAGCACAGAAACUGUCUUGUGCUACUGGACUGACAAAAACACUGAUGUGUGUCAACAAACAGCAAAGAGAACCUCUUACUCUCCAGCAUCAUUUCCUAGACCAGGAAGUUUGGAUAUCCAAGCACGUAAAGACAAUCUGACCCUUUCCUCUCAUGGGGUCAUCAAGCAUGUUUGGAUGAAUCUGUGCUCCUGGCUGAGCUGUGGUUAUCACAUACGAACAUUUUCUCUGAACUGCUCAUCUGUUUUUGGGCAUAAGCUUUGGCACUUAAGCAGAGAAAUGGAGGGAUCUUUUACAUACAAAUUGAUUGAGCACAUAAACUUCCCUGCCAAAAAAGAAAUCAUGUAAGGCGUUUCAGAUACUUCUAAGAAAAGCAGAUGGCGGUGGCAGUGCUUUUAAUCAUUAGCAAAGUGUCCAGAGCACUCGGUGAUAUGGAGGAUGCAGAUUUGAUGCCUCUGUCAGGUUAUGGGAGCCAUGGUUUGAACACUGAAGGAAAUGGGUUCCCUGCUCACUGGGCUAGAACAUAUUGAAAUAGAUGUGCUCGCAACCCCUCAGUCCGACACUGUUUUGCUGCAGAAGCCUGUUGUCCUAAUCACCAGGUUAGAAAGUCCUUCUGUCUCAGUAGCAGUUACUAUAUUUUGAGCAAAGUGGAUGAGUGUGAAUAGACAGAGGUCCUUCCUUAGAACGUGGUCUGUCCUAGUGGUUAAAACAUUGUUGUGACAAGUAGGUAACAUUGGUUCAACCGCCUGCCAUGUGUCACGCUGAAAAGAUUUUACUUGGGAUUUCUCAUCUCUUAGUCUGACCUUCAAAAACGUCAUUUCUCCAGACCAAAGGAACCUCUACACUGGCAUAAGAUAGCUCUUAAGAGCAGUACACCAGCCAAAAAUAAUUACAGUCAAUUCUCCAUUAUCUGAGGGAAGGAAAGAAAUAUUUUCCCAAUAGUAGAAAAACACAGAUGAUGCAGGUACUGGGAGCAGUCACGGAACCAGUUCUCAUAAGCCUGGCCAGACCUAGGAGUCUCUCUGCACUGCACACUCCUGAUGCUGCAAACUAGAGGAGGACUUACUCAUUCAGACACAGCGCCCAACCCGAACUGGCUCUCUGAGUGCACCACAUUGCAAUAGAGCUAGUAAGCUUUCUGGGAAUCUGGAGCACUCUGCAGCAUAGUAGCAGCCAGGUCAUAUUUGAUAUGGCACAAACACAAGUGCAUAAAAUCUGCUGGUCUCCUGCUGACAAAGAAGAGCCCCUUGAAUGUGUCUUCAGGGGGUUUCACAGUACUGGUUCAGAGAGCAUGGUGUGGAGACAACAGGUCUGGCUCUCCACUGAGCUAAUCCCAGUCCAAGCCUAGGCUAUAUUCUGUGUAAAAGCUGCUGUGCUACAGCUGAAUUCUGCCCCAAGAUAAUAACUCAAGGAGCCUGGAUAGCUUCUUGCAGAGCCAGUUGUACUCUCUCUUCUUCUGUAGCAUGGUUAAUCAGCUGUAGAGAUCUGCUACUCACAGAUAGUUAAGUGAGAAAAUGUAUGGAAAAUGUGUUAUAAUCGUGCCACUUGGUUUUCUGAUGCUUGCUGGCUUGCCACCCGCAUAGUGGAUAUGGGAGUCAAACAGCACUGUAUUGUCCAUGGAACUUUGUCAUUAUUCUCUUUUCACCUUUUACCACCUCCUCAAGCAUCUUGCAGGCAAAACUGCAAGAGUCCAUCACUGCCAAUCCAUGCUCAAAGAGAAGUAGCAGAGAGAAUGAUGGGAGAAGGUAAGAAAAAACAGACAUAAAAAGAAAAUAAAAGCAAUCUAGCAUUGACUGUAUACUCAGAUGCCAAAUUUGUACACUGCCUUUAGCAAGGAACAGCAAUUUAUUAAUAGAUUUGUUACUUUUGAUGAUGGUAUUGUACUUAAAAGUAUAAAAGAUUACAGUCUAAUACAAACAUCAGCCCCAUUCUCACCUCUAUGAAUGUUUAAGUUGAAAGUUAAAACGAAUUGUGUUUUUACAGUUGUCAGCUACCUAUUACAAGGUUGUUGUUAAUGUUAUGUUCUUUAUAAUGCAACCAACUUCAAAGUGAAGUAAUAGUAAUGGUUACAAUGAAUUUCUUUAGUAACACAAUAAAACAAGACAAAUAAAUGCAGUAUUUGCCGUGAAAAAGGAAACAAACUAGGAAGGUAUGAUUUGCAAGCUUUCUAGCUGGGUUUCCAAAAUAUAUAGAAUAAAAGCUUUGUAAGGUACUUGACCAUGUGAUGUUCUUUAAAAGUAAUCUCACAUGUUCUAUUUAAUCUGUAUUGACAGCGUUGUUCAUCCAAAUCACAGCGCACAGUGAACAGCUAAAGUGGAAUGGCUGAGCAAACAACUUAUAUUCCUGGUUCUGAGAAAACAAUAGAAUUGAGCAUAGGCAGGCAGGAUGACAACCAGGAGAUGGCUCCAGAAAUGACUCCCAUGUUAUGUCUUCAACUCCUUUGCUUUUCUAGCUCCAGCAGCAGCAGCAGAAAGUGAGUAUAAAGUCAUGAGAAGGAUGGAAAAUCCUAGAGAAGCUGUGGGCCUUAGUGAUAUCUAAUAGGGCUGAGAGAAAUCUAGAAGAUGAUUGUGGGGUUGCCAAGGAAUGAACCUUUGAUACCCUGAAAAGAAAGAAGCUGAGAAGCUCAAAAAGUGAUAAGUGGGUCAGAUUCCACAGAGAAAGUUGUUAUCAUGUCAGAUAACCAUGCCAUAAAAAGGAAUGGAGUGCAAACUGUGAGAGAAGAAGCUUAGGAGGAAGUAGCAGAAAUGCUGAAGAAGACCUGGAAGUGUUUUUUGUCACAGGAGCAUGAGUGAAUUGGGAGUUGAACAGGGUGUUUCCAGUUAAAAGUUACUGAGCGAUUUAGAACAGUAAAUGAAUAGGCAGUUAGAAGCAUAGUUUCCUUGACAAAGAUGGAUGGGUAGUGUGGUGUUUGGGAACAGUGAACAUAUGACUGAAGUAGAUGUGUGACUGAGCAGGGAGGAUGAAGUUAUUUAUGUUUUUAUGACAGAAUAUGACCAACAGGUAUGACUGCGCAAUGAAGACAGAGGUCAAAAAGCUGAAAACUGACAGGAGAGGGAAAGAAAAGGAAACUAAGGGAGGAAGAAAAGAAGUUGAAGAAGAAAGUUAGUACUGGAAGCUAGUUCCUUUUACAAGAUAGCAAUGUGCCAUAGGAGAAGAAAACAGCAUUAGAGAAGUCGAGUGUUACGAGGAUAUAAAGAGUUUAAAUGGAAAGUGGUGUAGAAAAACUAAGAGACAGAGGGAAGACUUAGAAGUGGAAGAGGAAAGAGAAGGAGAUCAAAAAAAAAAGGAGACAGUGAGUUAAGCUUUUAUUAAUGCAAGGGGACUGCUGGUCUUGCAAAGUGGCUGCAUCAUAAAUCUUACACUAUGAAACUCUGUGCGUCUCAGACAAAGGCUUUGAUUGGUCUCUUUCAGAAUGUGCUUCGACGUUCUCAGGAAAGGCCUUGGUGGAUGUUUCACAUGUUUGGCAUAUGUUUAUUCUGAUCCCUUGACAGACUACAUAUUGGGGACCUUCAAGCGUUUUCAGACCCAUCCACAGACUGAAGAAUCUCUGACUUUCUUCACUCCUUGGUUGAGUGCAGAGAGAUUUUAGAUCCCACAUCACAUUUAAAAUACACAGCUGUUGUUUGAGUGACAUCUUGGCUUAGUAUGGCUUAGUAUGGGAGAAAAACUGGUCAAAGUGCCUUUCUCAUCUUUUUUGGCUUUAAUAAAAUUCUGGAUCUUGCCUAAGUGUGAUUUUUAAGGAAGAAUUGAAAAUCUGUCCUUUUAGCUGACAUUAUUCCUGGCUCAUUUACUUUCCAAUGCAGUUAAUGGAUGGAAAAAGACUAAGUAUAGGGAACUUGUAGCUGUUCUACUUCAAAACCCAUUUUUGGGGAUGCUGUGAAAAAAUUGGAAAUGGUAGGCUGGUGGGGCAAAAUACCAAAAAUCUUUCAUUUGUAACUGCAAAUAGAGAGGGUAGAGGUUUAAAGACACUGAGGCUUAAAUCCCUGUGAGGGCCACUUAGGAGGAAUUACAUGACUCAUAGAUUUUAGAGCCAGGAGGGAUCAACAGAUCGUUAGUUUGACCUACUGUGUAACAUGGACUGUAGUAUUUCAUCCAGCUGGUUUUGCAGCAGGCCUAAAGCAUAUCUUUCCCAAUAUCAGGUGGACUUGAUUCGAAGACUGCAAGAGAUGAAGAAUUCAAUGUAUCAAUUAAUAGUUUGUCCUCUGGUAGUUUGUACCUUACUGUUUCAAAUCUGUUGCUUUUAUAUUUAACUCCAAUUUAUACAGCUUCAACCUCUAUCUUUUUUUUUUUCGUUAUGUCUUUUCUGCUGUAUUGGAGUCCUUUGUGACCUAUUAUUUUCUCCAUAUGAAGGAUGCUUAUGAUGUGAUGAGUAUGUGUAAGAUAUAAAGGAUGUGCAAAAAGAACAGGCUCUGUCGAGACAGUGUGGUAAUAUGAGUCAUUAGAAGGGCGAACAUCUGUUCUCAAGGAAAUUGCCUCAUUCUGAAGUAUACUACGUGUAGUUAGGCCCUCCUGCAGUGGAGCUGCAGUGAUGAUGAAUUUGAGGCAGUUUUGUCCCUAAGUUGACCUAUUAGUGUUCCAGUUUGCGUCUAUGUACUCAUACUAGGAGGCUAGGGCCACAGGGUCUUAGAGAGCUCCUUUGUAGUUUUCUUAAUUGAGUGGCAAUAAGAUAGCAGGGUUGAGUAGGCUGCCCUGGGGCCAAGGUGAUUCCAGCUCUUGGGACAGCUUUUGGCAACGGUGGCUGCGUAUGUGGGAUGCUAUGAAAGUGAGCGAGCGAGUGAAACGGCAGACUGUGUGAGGCUGCAGUGAGUCAGCCACUCCGAGGGAGUUGGAAGAAAUGUAUAGUCUAUAUAGAGGAACAUUGGACUGCCCCGAACUGGAGGCCAAGGAGUUCUGAUUUCUGCAAAUUCAAUUCAUCUGAUGUUCUUGGCAGUCCGUGUAAGGAAAUUGACAGCAGAGAGCUCUAGUGUGUGAGGAGUGAUGACUCUCAAGCUGCCUUCUGGGAAAGCAGGCCAAUAAAUUUGGUUACCCUGUAUUGCAACAACAGUCCAGGAGAGGGAGCAUAAACUCAGAGUAGUAUCCAGGGCAAUAUAAAUUGUCUCGUUGUGGUGGACUGAGCAUUAUAUGACUAAUGGCUGGAGUAUGGACACACAUUCACAGGAAACAUUUGUGUAUGAAUGUCUCUCAUAACUAAUGAUUUUACCUUUGUUUGCCAAGACAGGGAAGUUCUAUGGUUUAAUUAAAAUUCUUCUUCAUGAAAGUCUUUUUCCAGAAAGUUCAUCAUCUCACAGUCUUCAUGCCGUGAUUUAUUCUUCUGUUGCUUCUUCUAAAUACUAUGUCUGUUCUUUUCUAGCCAAACACUAGAAUUCUUUCCUUCCCUUUAUUACUUUUUGGAGUCUCAAAACUCAGUCUCAGAACUUCUCUUGUUAAUGGUACUAGUUCAAAAGAUUUCACAUUUCUCCUUCUAAUUUGUGUUACUGACAAGUGAUAUCAUUACAGUGUGCGAAGCUGUUGAAGAUGCUGUAGGAGCAUAACUGUGAGUUUUAAAUGUUUUGGGGAAAAGAAUCAGUAGGUAUUUUCAGGUGAUCACAACACUGAAAUGUCACUAACACUGUGUAAUUUGCUAAUAUUCCGGCCUUGGAAUGUGUGGUAGUAUUUCACUGUGUGAAGAAUUAUUGUUGCUUCAGCUGCAGCCAUAUCCAUCUCCCUGGGAAGACUUCCAGCUUCAAAGGGAAAUCUGGUUGUACAUGUUUGAACUGUGUUUUUAGCUGCAACAUAAUCUUUUCUGUCUUCUUGCUGCCCAUUAGAAAUGGUAAUGAAAAAAUGGCUCAAGGUUUAUUCAGCCUCAGUGUAACCUUUCUCUUUCUCAGGAAAUAAAAGUUCUUCAUUUCCAGCAGAGGAUAAUUCAGUUCCUGAUAUCCUUUUAGAUGUUUUGAAGUUAUGCUUUUUUGGAAUGUCUGCAUAGUAAUCUGUAGAGUAAAAGGACAUUACCUACCAAGGCGAUGUCAAAAAAUAAAUAUAUUAAUCCUCCAA
Dromaius novaehollandiae (emu) is the source of this 7681-nucleotide RNA transcript. RefSeq lists it as uncharacterized. The transcript has 8 exons. NCBI's taxonomy places the organism in Eukaryota, Metazoa, Chordata, Aves, Casuariiformes, Dromaiidae. The record is from RefSeq and is a predicted model, not a curated record.